Molecule: ribosomal RNA, 672 nt
Filed under: uncultured bacterium
Lineage: Bacteria
Description: bacterial SSU rRNA
Rfam family: Bacterial small subunit ribosomal RNA
Source: RNAcentral
UGAGUAAUGUCUGGGAAACUGCCUGAUGGAGGGGGAUAACUACUGGAAACGGUAGCUAAUACCGCAUAACGUCGCAAGACCAAAGAGGGGGACCUUCGGGCCUCUUGCCAUCGGAUGUGCCCAGAUGGGAUUAGCUUGUUGGUGGGGUAACGGCUCACCAAGGCGACGAUCCCUAGCUGGUCUGAGAGGAUGACCAGCCACACUGGAACUGAGACACGGUCCAGACUCCUACGGGAGGCAGCAGUGGGGAAUAUUGCACAAUGGGCGCAAGCCUGAUGCAGCCAUGCCGCGUGUAUGAAGAAGGCCUUCGGGUUGUAAAGUACUUUCAGCGGGGAGGAAGGGAGUAAAGUUAAUACCUUUGCUCAUUGACGUUACCCGCAGAAGAAGCACCGGCUAACUCCGUGCCAGCAGCCGCGGUAAUACGGAGGGUGCAAGCGUUAAUCGGAAUUACUGGGCGUAAAGCGCACGCAGGCGGUUUGUUAAGUCAGAUGUGAAAUCCCCGGGCUCAACCUGGGAACUGCAUCUGAUACUGGCAAGCUUGAGUCUCGUAGAGGGGGGUAGAAUUCCAGGUGUAGCGGUGAAAUGCGUAGAGAUCUGGAGGAAUACCGGUGGCGAAGGCGGCCCCCUGGACGAAGACUGACGCUCAGGUGCGAAAGCGUGGGGAGCAAACAG